GUGAAAAUGUGUUUUAUGAAUUAAUAUAUUGAUGAUUUUUAAUUGUAUGAUUGUUAGUAGCAAAAGUAGCACCGGAUACGUCAUCAAAGAAGGGAAAAGAGAAAGUGAACGAAGAUAUCGAUUAAAUUCGAUAAAUAGUGGCUAGGUACGAAAGUAUAAGGACUCAGCAUACAAGCCGAUCCCCAAACUCAAAUUGGUGAAGUUUCUAUCUUUUUGGAAAAUGGCAUUGUACCUAGGAUGUCUUUUGGUCAUUUUGAAAGUAUCUAAGUUGUUAAGUGAUAUUUUGGUAUGUUUUGUAAAUGUUACCAAAACCUUAAGUAUGGUAUGUUUUGAUAUGUUAGUGAAGAGUAAUAAGAGGAAGUGUUGGUAAAUAUUGUAGAGAGAAGAAAUGAAGAUGUUAUAAACUUAGUUAUCAA
Gossypium arboreum is the source of this 416-nucleotide long non-coding RNA. RefSeq lists it as uncharacterized. The transcript is spliced from 2 exons. The record is from RefSeq and is a predicted model, not a curated record. Lineage: Eukaryota; Viridiplantae; Streptophyta; Magnoliopsida; Malvales; Malvaceae.